GAUCCUGGCUCAGGACGAACGCUGGCGGCGUGCCUAACACAUGCAAGUCGAGCGGAGACAGUGAGUAGCUUGCUACGAACUGUUUUAGCGGCGGACGGGUGAGUAACGCGUGAGCAACCUUUCCCAGACACGGGGGAAUAACACACCGAAAGGUGUACUAAUACCGCAUAAGACCACGGUUUCACAUGGAACUGNGGUAAAAGAUUAUCGGUUUGGGGUGGGCUCGCGUCCCGAUUAGGUAGUUGGUGAGGUAACGGCCC
This 260-nucleotide ribosomal RNA is filed under the name uncultured bacterium. Its description in RNAcentral is "partial 16S ribosomal RNA". It matches the Rfam family "Bacterial small subunit ribosomal RNA", at positions 15 to 266 of the family's 1533-position model. The record is from RNAcentral.